RNAcentral lists this ribosomal RNA (165 nucleotides) under uncultured bacterium. RNAcentral describes it as "partial 16S ribosomal RNA". It matches the Rfam family "Bacterial small subunit ribosomal RNA", at positions 353 to 509 of the family's 1533-position model. The record is from RNAcentral.
UAGGGGAAAUUUUCGUUCAAUGGGCGCAAGCCUGAACGAGCAAUGCCGCGUGAACGAGGAAGGUCUUCGGAUCGUAAAGUUCUGUUGAAGGGGAAAAAGAGCGGAGAGAGGAAAUGCUUUCUGAUUGAUAUUACCCUUCGAGGAAGUCACGGCUAACUACGUGCC